RNA transcript from Schistocerca gregaria, 5391 nucleotides. It is a transcript of the gene named calcium-responsive transcription factor-like, with no coding region annotated. The record is from RefSeq and is a predicted model, not a curated record. NCBI's taxonomy places the organism in Eukaryota, Metazoa, Arthropoda, Insecta, Orthoptera, Acrididae. The transcript is spliced from 7 exons.
AAAGACUUUGACAUAUUUUGUUGUCACUGCGCAGACGCUUUGGGUUUCAACAGUAGUUUCUGUUGUGUGUACCUUGUUUUGUGCUAUGCUUUGGUGGAGUAUGGUGAUUUCGUUUCGCUUUGCUUUCUUUUUAUUGCAACAUGUGUCCAUUUAAGAAUAUAAUGAAAGAGUGUAUGAAGGAAUUCAGCAUCGGAAACAAAGGCCAGUUUUGCGGCAUUUGUUCAUCCGAGGAAGAAAUCGAUUACCUUUUUACCAGGCUCAAAUGUGUUGGGUAUUCUUAUUCAGUGAGGAGCAGCGCUUAUAACAGAUUAUCCUCCGGCGUUACAACCAGUAAACCACGAUUCUUCUUCAGUCAGUCACAAGGGACUAUUCAAAUUCCAUUUUUUGGGUCACCAUUUUCGGUUGAGUAUGUAAGCUACAGGCAAUGUACACUCGGUCCAAUGUACUAUGAUAAGAACGAGAUUCCUGUUCCUUAUCACCUGAGUUUCUCCAAAGAAGUAUUCCAUAAUGCAAAUGUGUAUGGAAAAAGGUGUAGUAUGCCAUAAGCAUGCACUCCUUAGUGACACAAUCCUUAAGUUUCCUAAGGAGAUAUAAAACUCUUGCCAACUUACUGCAGCUCUCUUCUGUGUUGACCAUAUCAUCCCAAAUAAAAAGCAAAAGUUGUUUAUGGAUACCAAGAAAAGUGACUGUCCUGCCACAUUUUUAGUAAAAUGUGUCAGAGUUUAUCCUAGCUAUUUAGUCCUGUCAGAGAAUGAUCGCAAGACAAAAAAAAUGGUUAUUGAUAGCUUGAAGAAGCAUUUGGAGUUACCCAAUAAACCAGAAAGCUUUCUUCGCUUGUAUGUGGUUGCUUCACCACCAGAGCACCACACACACAGUGCAGCACAUAUGAAAACAAGUGGAGAUCUGCAUCCUCGGCUAGCUUUGGAAAUACGGAACCAUGUCAAAAAUGGAACAACAUCAGUAAGAGAAAUAAAAUUGCUUCUUGAAAAGUUUGUUGAGACAAACUUCAGUGGGCCAGCUAGACCAGACCGUGUAAACACUGCAUUUUACCCCACAGACAAAACCAUUUAUAAUCAUGUGUAUAGGACAAGAAAGAGAAUUUUUGGUGAAGAUUCAUUAGAGAUCCAGAUUGAUAAGGCAUAUGGAUGUGACUCAAGCAGAAGGUGUACUGCACCAAUUAAUUCUGUAAGAAAUGGUGUACAGAAUACCAGCAAAAGCGAUGAAAGGAACAAAAAGCGUGCCAGUCCUGAAAAAUCAAGCUCUUGUUCAUCCCUGUCUCAAGAGGCAAGAGACAUAUGUAAAAAUAUUAUAGAGCUCACAUACAAUUGCAGUGAUGAAACAAUAAAAAAUCUUGUAGAUGACCUUCAAAAUGUGCAGCGUAGUGUAGAAUUGUCAUACCAUGCAGGCAGUGACCUUCCUUCAACAGUGGCAACAAAUUCUAAAAUAGAGAAACAUAUUUGAACAGUGAAAUUGGCACGAGGAAUCAAAUUUCGCUGAAUAUGCUGCACUCAAAAGUCUGGAGCAGCUCAAGAACCGGAAAAAACUUAAAACUGAUGUAUGUCUGAAGCUUCAGAGCAAAACCAGAUGUAGCUGUACAAUAAGAUAAGUAAAAAUGAAUUACACUGCAUGUAUUUUCUAAAAGAUAGUUCACCUAAACUAUAACAUGAGGGAUCUAGGGAAGUUAAAAACAAUAUUUCAUACAAAAGAUAUCGACAUUUUAUUAUUAACCCUUUGAUUGUGGCUGACUGCUACAGCAGUCCAAGUGUGCCAUGCCCUGGAUGCUGCUGACUGCCACAGCAUUUCAUUGCUGCCAUGCCCAGGGUGCUGCGAACUUCUGUAGAAGUUCUGAGACAUUCAGUCGCCUAUUGUUUAGCUGUGCUUGAAUAAGACGUCUGUUUGUUUGCAGUGCUACUGGCAGACUCUCACCACACCUUAUCGUUUGCUCUAACUGCAACAUGAUUGGUCUAAGGUGCUGCAGUCAUGGACUGUGCGGCUGGUCCCGGCGGAGGUUCGAGUCCUCCCUCAGACGAAUGGAAAAACUGGUAGAAGCCAACCUCGGGGAAGAUCAGUUUGGAUUCCGUAGAAAUAUUGGAACAUCUGAGGCAAUACUGACCUUACGACUUAUCUUAGAAGAAAGAUUAAGGAAAGGCAAACCUAUGUUUCUAGCAUUUGUAGACUUAGAGAAAGCUUUUGACAAUGUUGACUGGAAUACUCUCUUUCAAAUUCUAAAGGUGGCAGGGGUAAAAUACUGUGAGCGAAAGGCUAUUUACAAUUUGUACAGAAAGUAGAUGGCAGUUAUAAGAGUCGAAGGGUAUGAAAGGGAAGCAGUGGUUGGGAAGGGAGUGAGACAGGGUUGUAGCCUAUCUCCGAUGUUAUUCAAUCUGUAUAUUGAGCAAGCAGUAAAGGAAACAAAAGAAAAAUUUGGAGUAGGUAUUAAAAUCCAUGGGGAAGAAAUAAAAACUUCGAGGUUCGCCGAUGACAUUGUAAUUCUAUCAGAGACAGCAAAGGACUUGGAAGAGCAGUAGAACGGAAUGGACAGUGUCUUGAAAGGAGGAUGUAAGAUGGACAUCAACAAUAGCAAAACGAGGAUAAUGGAAUGUGGUCGAAUUAAGUCGGGUGAUGCUGAGAGAAUUAGAUUAGGAAAUGAGACACUUAAAGUAGUAAAGGAGUUUUGCUAUUUGGGGAGCAAAAUAACUGAUGAUGGUCGAAGUAGAGAUGAUAUAAGAUGUAGACUGGUAAUGGCAUGGAAAGCGUUUCUGAAGAAGAGAAAUUUCUUAACAUCGAGUAUAGUUUUAAGUGUCAGGAAGUCGUUUCUGAAAGUAUUUGUGUGGAGUGUAGCCAUGUAUAGAAGUGAAACAUUGACGAUAAAUAAUUUGGACAAGAAGAGAAUAGAAGCUUUCAAAAUGUGGUGCUACAGAAGAAUGCUGAAGAUUAGAUGGGUAGAUCACAUAACUAAUGUUGAAGUAUUGAAUAGAAUUGCGGAGAAGAGGAGUAUGUGGCACAACUUGACAAAAAGAAGGGAACGUUUAGUAGGACAUGUUCUGAGGCAUCAAGGGAUCACAAAUUUAGCAUUGGAGGGCAGCGUGGAGGGUAAAAACUGUAGAGGGAGACAAAGAGAUGAAUACACUAAGCAGAUUCAGAAGGAGGUGGGCUGCAGUAAGUACUGGGAGAUGAAGAUGCUUGCACAGGAUAGGGUAGCAUGGAGAGUUGCAUCAAACCAGUGUCAGUACUGAAGACCACAACAAGAACAUCAUCUUCAUGUGCAAAUUUCUUAAGUCCACAGUAAUCGGUAAUGUUUCAAAAUCGUGAUGUUUAUUAAAAAGUAAUAGUAGCACAUGUUAUUGCCAGUAAGACUUUGUUAGUAAGUUCACAUGUCGUUUCUGCAUUUGUUCAUUAUACUGCUUAGUAGUUUCUGCCAAUAGCAAAUAUUAUUGCGAGACAGUAUGUAUUGCUGCAUUUCUUGGCGAUUCUGCAGUCUGCAUAAGGAUUAGCUGCUGUAUUGUUUGCUAGGGCAAGUUACUGUAUAACAUGGAGAAUAACUGUAAUAGAAGCGAUUAGUUACGGAAUGAGGUGAGUUUAGUUCCAUUAGGUGAAGCCAUGCGGGGUAGGGGGUAGCCACGCAGUCUCAGGCGCUUUGCCACAGUUCGCGUGGCUUCCCCCGUUGGAGGUUCGAAUCCUCCCUCUGGCAUGGGUGUGCAUAUGUUGACUUUAGCAUAAGGUGGUUUAGGAACUUGCCACCUCCCUUAGCGGAAGUUUAUUUCCGGUUUACCAUAAAACGUGACACUGCAAUGCCUAAUUAGGCUGGCGAUCUCAUGUAUGUAUAAUUACAGUAUACUUUUGUAAUAGUAGAAUGGUAGUUGAAAACCUGUUUACUUUGCUGCUUGUUUCAGUAACUUCGUGAUUACGAAAUUAUAGUCCGAUUUCUUGUCAUUGGGUACAAUCACUGUCAGGCUAAAGCCCUUCAUGGAAGGUUAACAUUAUCGACGAUUGCCAAUUUGGCAAUGGCCAUUAGUGUUACAUUUGACACCAUGUGACCGCACAUUUUAUUGGUUUUUGUUCAGCAAAUACAGUAAACAGCUUAACUAAGAAGCAAGAAACUACAGGGUGUCACAGUGAGACUCCAACAUUUUAAUAUUCUAUAUCUUUCUCAUUACAGAUGGUGGACCUGUGAAUCCUGAAGGGGCAGACAGAGCAACGCAACAAGUUUGUGGUGUGCAAAUUUAAUACGCCAAGUGGCCAUAGUGGAGAUGCAGUCAGUUAUUUUAGCAAAAUGGAGGAUAUGAAGGGGCGUGCACAAGUGGUAGGUGGUAUGCAGAGACAAAAUCGGCGACCCAAGUGCAAAGAAACUUUCGUCAAUUUACAACAAAGUGCCCCUUGUCAUUCAAGACUAUAAAGAAGUGGUGUGAUCAGUUUUUGGCUACUGGGAGUGUUGCGAAAGGGCAUGGUGGUGGUAAGCCUGGGAUCAGCAGAUAUCAUGUGGAACAUGUGCGACAGUCAUUCGAACAAAGUCCACAGAAGUCAGUGCGACAGGCAGCACGAGAACUUCGUAUGAAACGUUCAACAGUGCACAAAGUGCUUCAUCAGUGAUUACGUUUGUACGCAUAUAAAGUGCAGGUUAUGCAAGAAAUCAAGCCUGAUGAUCGACCAAAGUGAGAAGAAUUUGCAUGUAUCAUGUUAGAUUGCAUUGUCGCGGACAAGACAUUUUUAUCAUAAUGUUUACUGACGAGGCAACCUUUCACUUGUCAGGGGCUGUCAACUGUCACAAGGUGCGCAAUUGGGGGUCCGAAAAUCCACAUACACCUAGGGAACACAUGCCCGACAGUCCGAAAGUUAAUGUGUGGUGUGGUUGAAUGAUAAAUCAUAUUAUUGGGCAGUUUUUCUUUCAGGAGCCAACUGUGGAUGUAGCCAUCUACCUGGACAUGUUAGAACAAUUUGUCGUGCCAUAGAUAACAGACCUGCAGCCAAAUUUGAUGUUUCAACAAGAUGGUGCACCACCCUAUUGGAGCCUUGAUGUCCGAAAAUUUUUAAAUGACACAUUCCCGCAAUGAUGGAUUGGCUGUGGAGGUCUAAUUCAUUGGCUGCCAUGAUCGCCCAAUAUAACUCCCCUCGAUUUUUUCUCGUGGGAUUAUGUGAAAGACCGGGUAUACGCUACACCAGUAAAGGACCUACAAGACUUGAAACAGUGCAUAAGAAUUGUCAUCAACUCGUGUGUCACAGAACAGAUGCUCCACAGAACAUGGCACGAAAUUGAUUGUAGACUUGAUAUUCUUUGCACUACCCGUGGCACCCAUGUUCAAGUGUAUUGAACCGUCCACCUGUGUAUGAAAACUUGAUGAGCUACUGUAUGAGUUCCCUGUAUUUGUUCGUCAAUAAAUUGUGUUUCCUCUCGGA